Molecule: ribosomal RNA, 433 nt
Filed under: uncultured bacterium
Lineage: Bacteria
Description: partial 16S ribosomal RNA
Rfam family: Bacterial small subunit ribosomal RNA
Source: RNAcentral
AACGAACGCUGGCGGCAUGCCUAACACAUGCAAGUCGAACGAGACCUUCGGGUCUAGUGGCGCACGGGUGCGUAACUCAUUGGAACCUGCCCUUCGGUUCGGAAUAACUCCCCGAAAUGGGUGCUAAUACGGGAUAAUGCCUUCGUACAAAGGUUUUAUCGCCUUUGGAUGUGCACGGGUUGGCUUAGCUAGUUGGUAGGGGAAAAGUCUACCAAGGCGACGAUCCAGAGCUGGUAUGAGAGGAUGAUCAGCCACACUGGGACUGAGACACGGCCCAGACUCCUACGGGAGGCAGCAGUAGGGAAUAUUGGACGAUGGGCGAAAGCGUGAUCCAGCAAUGCCGCGUGAGUGAUGAAGGCCUUAGGAUUGUAAAGCCCGUUUACCCGGGAUGAUAAUGACAGUACCGGGAGAAUAAGCUCCGGCUAACUACGUG